AAGUCGUAACAAGGUUUCCGUAGGUGAACCUGCGGAAGGAUCAUUAUACACGAUUUCCAAUCGUAUAAACCUUUCGUGCACUCGUUUCGUACCCCAGGUCUAGUCGAACCGAACAGCAGAAGAGCUGAGGUAGUGUGAGAGGCUCUCGGGUCUCUCGUUCUUCUGUCCGCCUUGGUCCCGAAAGGGCGUCAAGGGGGUUCGCCUGGAUUACACUACUGCGUCCUUAUGGCUUUCAGCUAUCUGGGCGCUUUUUUUAUUGACCCUUUUCAACCUUUUUUGUAACCAUUCGUACUAAAAAGUUUUUCAGUUUCAUAAGAAACUUAAGAACAACUCUUAGCAACGGAUAUCUAGGCUCGC
RNAcentral lists this unclassified non-coding RNA (357 nucleotides) under fungal sp. Its description in RNAcentral is "partial internal transcribed spacer region". The stretch from base 1 to 46 matches the Rfam family "Eukaryotic small subunit ribosomal RNA", at positions 1786 to 1831 of the family's 1831-position model. The record is from RNAcentral. Lineage: Eukaryota; Fungi.